CCUACGGGUGGCAGCAGUGGGGACUAUUGGGCACUGGGCGCAAGCCUGACCCAGCAAUGCCGCGUGAAGGAAGAAGGCUUUCGGGUUGUAAACUUCUUUGACAGGGGAAGAGCAGAAGACGGUACCCUGAAAACAAGCCACGGCUAACUACGUGCCAGCAGCCGCGGUAAUACGGAGGUGGCAAGCGUUGGCCGGAUGUACUGGGGGUAAAGGGCGUGUAGCUGGGAAGGCAAGUCAGAUGUGAAAUCUUGAGGCUCAACCUCCAAAUUGCAUGUGAAAAUGUUUUUCUUGAGUACUGGAGAGGCAGACGGAAUUCCUUGUGUAGCGGUGAAAUGCGUAGAUAUAAGGAGGAACACCAGUGGCGAAGGCGGUCUGCUGGACAGCAACUGACGGUGAGGCGCGAAAGCGUGGGGAGCAAACAGGAUUAGAUACCCGAGUAGUC
Molecule: ribosomal RNA, 442 nt
Filed under: uncultured bacterium
Lineage: Bacteria
Description: partial 16S ribosomal RNA
Rfam family: Bacterial small subunit ribosomal RNA
Source: RNAcentral